This 547-nucleotide non-coding RNA is filed under the name Pongo abelii (Sumatran orangutan). RNAcentral also lists the same sequence under 1 other name. Lineage: Eukaryota; Metazoa; Chordata; Mammalia; Primates; Hominidae. The record is from RNAcentral.
UUUCUUCUUUCUCCUCUGUGUCCUCGAAUGACCACAAUCAGGUUUUCUUCUUGAUCCUUCAGUGAGCCAAGGAGCAGCAUAUAGUCCAGAGGGUCAGCCCAUGGGGAGCUUUGUGUUGGAUGGUCAGCAACACAUGGGGAUCCGGCCUGCAGGACCUAUGAGUGGAAUGGGCAUGAAUAUGGGCAUGGAUGGGCAAUGGCACUACAUGUAACCUUCAUCAUGUAAAGCAAUCGCAAAGCAAGGGGGAAGUAAGUACAGUCGGGUGCGAUCUGUCUUCACUAUCACUUCAGAGACUUUAUUUUAUUUUUUAUAAUUUGCCCCCAUUUUAUUUUUCCUUGCCCAUAACUGCAUGCCUUUCCAAACUAAGGACCUGUUUUUAAAUAUAUAUCACCCAUCUCUGAAGUCACAGAUGACACUGAUGUGCACUUUUGAAAAGGCCAACUGACAAGCCUGCGUGUGUUUUAAGCAGGUGGGACUGCCUUUUAGCCUAUUUACUGUGGCCCCAAUGUGCACAAACACAGACAUCAGGCAGAUAUUGGACAUUUAA